Thalassophryne amazonica is the source of this 82-nucleotide long non-coding RNA. RefSeq lists it as uncharacterized. The transcript is spliced from 3 exons. NCBI's taxonomy places the organism in Eukaryota, Metazoa, Chordata, Actinopteri, Batrachoidiformes, Batrachoididae. The record is from RefSeq and is a predicted model, not a curated record.
CACAUCAGUGGUUUUGCAGCAAAUGCUAUAUCCAUCCAAUAUUAUGUGCUUUUAACAUUUUAAAAGAUUAUUUAUGACUAAU